RNAcentral lists this ribosomal RNA (426 nucleotides) under uncultured bacterium. RNAcentral describes it as "bacterial SSU rRNA". It matches the Rfam family "Bacterial small subunit ribosomal RNA", at positions 354 to 796 of the family's 1533-position model. The record is from RNAcentral.
GUGAGGAAUUUUCCGCAAUGGGCGAAAGCCUGACGGAGCAAUGCCGCGUGAAGGAUGAAGGCCUAUGGGUUGUAAACUUCUUUUCUCAGAAAAGAAUUAUGACGGUAUCUGAGGAAUAAGCAUCGGCUAACUCUGUGCCAGCAGCGGCGGUAAGACAGAGGAUGCAAGCGUUAUCCGGAAUGAUUGGGCGUAAAGCGUCUGUAGGUUGUUUAAAAAGUAUUCUGUCAAAGAUUAGGGCUUAACCCUAGAUAGGCAGAAUAAACUUUUAAGCUAGAGUUUGGUAGAGGCAGAGGGAAUUCCCGGUGGAGCGGUGAAAUGCGUAGAUAUCGGGAGGAACACCAAAGGCGAAGGCACUCUGCUGGGCCAAUACUAACACUGAGAGACGAAAGCGAGGGGAGCAAAUGGGAUUAGAUACCCUAGUAGUCC